GGGAGAGUAACGCGUAUCCGACCUGUACACCACUUGGGGAUAAACUUGCGAAAGUAAGACUAAUACCCAAUGAUAUCUCUAGAAGACAUCUGAAAGGGAUUAAAGAUUUAUCGGUGAUGGAUGGGGAUGCGUCUGAUUAGCUUGUUGGCGGGGUAACGGCCCACCAAGGCGACGAUCAGUAGGGGUUCUGAGAGGAAGGUCCCCCACAUUGGAACUGAGACACGGUCCAAACUCCUACGGGAGGCAGCAGUGAGGAAUAUCGGUCAAUGGACGAGAGUCUGAACCAGCCAAGUAGCGUGCAGGAUGACGGCCCUAUGGGUUGUAAACUGCUUUUAUAAGGGAAUAAAGUGAGUCUCGUGAGACUUUUUGCAUGUACCUUAUGAAUAAGGACCGGCUAAUUCCGUGCCAGUAGCCGCGGUAAUACGGAAGGUCCGGGCGUUAUCCGGAUUUAUUGGGUUUAAAGGGAGCGUAGGCCGGAGAUUAAGCGUGUUGUGAAAUGUAGACGCUCAACGUCUGCACUGCAGCGCGAACUGGUUUCCUUGAGUACGCACAAAGUGGGCGGAAUUCGUGGUGUAGCGGUGAAAUGCUUAGAUAUCACGAAGAACUCCGAUUGCGAAGGCAGCUCACUGGAGCGCAACUGACGCUGAAGCUCGAAAGUGCGGGUAUCGAACAGGAUUAGAUACCCUGGUAGUCCGCACGGUAAACGAUGGAUGCCCGCUGUUGGUCUGAAUAGGUCAGCGGCCAAGGG
This 748-nucleotide ribosomal RNA is filed under the name uncultured Bacteroidota bacterium. Its description in RNAcentral is "bacterial SSU rRNA". It matches the Rfam family "Bacterial small subunit ribosomal RNA", at positions 104 to 853 of the family's 1533-position model. Lineage: Bacteria; Pseudomonadati; Bacteroidota. The record is from RNAcentral.